CAAACAUAGCUCUCUCUUGGUAUCUUCAGAAGACUGGAUCCAGGCUCCCCACCACUAUCCAAGACCAGGGAAGCAAAAAUUCUGCCAGCGUUCAGUCCCUUCCCCAAAGUGACGGGGCGCUUGCAUAUAAUCUGUGCGUGUACUCUCAUGCGUGCUCAUUAUCGCUAAACCUGAUGUCACAGCUGACACCAUUUGAAAGCCACGUAAAUGCAUGUUCUACUGAAUGGCCAGGGCCUAAUGACAAGAGUAAACCUGGACACGUUCAGUUCAGAUACAAUCGUUUGGGCAAAACGUUCCAAUCCACAUUAGUAGAGUCCGCUAAUGUAGGAUCUGCCUCUACAAAGCACCCAGUGUACAAGGUCCAAAAAUGUGCAGAACUUUAAAAAAAGUAAGUAGUAAUCACAACAA
This 408-nucleotide long non-coding RNA is filed under the name Rattus norvegicus (Norway rat). Its description in RNAcentral is "long non-coding RNA NONRATT017466". The record is from RNAcentral. Lineage: Eukaryota; Metazoa; Chordata; Mammalia; Rodentia; Muridae.